This 541-nucleotide ribosomal RNA is filed under the name uncultured bacterium. RNAcentral describes it as "bacterial SSU rRNA". It matches the Rfam family "Bacterial small subunit ribosomal RNA", at positions 326 to 861 of the family's 1533-position model. The record is from RNAcentral.
CUGGCCCAGACUCCUACGGGAGGCAGCAGUAGGGAAUCUUCCGCAAUGGACGAAAGUCUGACGGAGCAACGCCGCGUGAGUGAUGAAGGGUUUCGGCUCGUAAAACUCUGUUGUUAAGGAAGAAUACUUGAGGUAGUAACUGGCCUUGAGAUGACGGUACUUAACCAGAAAGCCACGGCUAACUACGUGCCAGCAGCCGCGGUAAUACGUAGGUGGCAAGCGUUAUCCGGAAUUAUUGGGCGUAAAGCGCGCGUAGGCGGUAAGAUAAGUCUGAUGUGAAAGCCCCCGGCUCAACCGGGGAGGGUCAUUGGAAACUGUUUACUUGAGUACAGAAGAGGAGAGUGGAAUUCCAUGUGUAGCGGUGAAAUGCGCAGAGAUAUGGAGGAACACCAGUGGCGAAGGCGGCUCUCUGGUCUGUUACUGACGCUGAGGUGCGAAAGCGUGGGGAUCAAACAGGAUUAGAUACCCUGGUAGUCCACGCCGUAAACGAUGAGUGCUAAGUGUUGGGGGUUUCCGCCCUCAGUGCUGCAGCUAACGCUAA